UGGUGUGUGGUUUUGUUGUUGACUUCAUGGAGAGAGUGGGAGCACGGUUUUCAUGGUAGAAAAGUGUGGAAGGAAAGGUUUGACUUGGAAAAUGAAGCACAUUGCACAAAAAGGAAGCAACACAUUACUUGGUUUGUUGAAGGAAGAGAAUGAAAUGGUUCUUUGGAGCAUGGUCACUCACGUGAAUUGCUAGGAAAAUGUGGUGUUUGUUUAUUUCUUUUUCUUUAAAUUAAUUUGCAUAGUAGGAUUAGUUGCUUUUUAGUUUCUCUAAUUUAGUUUUGCAUUUAAUUUAAAUUAACUUUGUUAGAUAAUUGUUUAGUCUAGUAUUUGGGUUAGCAUUUUCACUCUCUGGACUCGAUUUUAAGAAAAAUAACUGCAACCAUACCAGAGGUCCAAAUGCUACGUUUUAUAUUUCACAUGAAAGAUAAUUGAGUCUACUUUCCAAGAUAAAAAACCUCAUCUCAUUUAGAGCUCUGUAGAAAAAGUUAUGGGUAAAACAUUGAGCAAAGGUCAAAGUUGUCCAGUUCCAGCGUGAAUUUUAAAUUUUCCGCAUUCACUACAAAAACACUUUUCAAAAUCCCCCC
RNAcentral lists this long non-coding RNA (584 nucleotides) under Vigna radiata. RNAcentral's name for it is "long non-coding RNA (VRAD_LNC016270)". Lineage: Eukaryota; Viridiplantae; Streptophyta; Magnoliopsida; Fabales; Fabaceae. The record is from RNAcentral.